GCCUGCUCAUGAUHGUAUUAAAUAGCUGCAGUAUUUUGACHGUACAAAGGUAGCAUAAUCAUUAGUCUUUUAAUCGAAAGCUUGUAUGAAGGGUUUGAUGAGGAAAAAACCGUCUCUYUUHAAUYUAAUCAUAAUYUUAUUUUUAAGAAAAAAAGCUUAAAUYUUAAUAGAAGACGAGAAGACCCUAUAGAGUYUUAUGAUCAAGYYUAUUUAUUAGUYUUAGGAUUUUAGGAAUAAAAUAUAGUUAAUYAUUUAGUAGGGGUGAUAGAAAAAUAUAAAUAACYYYUUUUAUUUAGUUACAUCUAUAUAUGAUUAUUUGAUUUUUUAUUAAAAAUUAUAAGAUAAAUUACCUUAGGGAUAACAGCGUAAUUUUUUUUGAGAGUUCAAAUUAGAAAAAAAGAUUGCGACCUCGAUGUUGGAUUAAAAUUAAUUAUUGGUGGAGAAGCUAAUAGGUUGGGUCUGUUCGACCUUUAAAUUUUUACAUGAUCUGAGUUUAAACCGGUGUAAGCCAGGUCG
Molecule: ribosomal RNA, 516 nt
Filed under: Cryptorhynchini gen. sp. ARC0886
Lineage: Eukaryota; Metazoa; Arthropoda; Insecta; Coleoptera; Curculionidae
Description: partial 16S ribosomal RNA
Rfam family: Bacterial large subunit ribosomal RNA (bases 357-515)
Source: RNAcentral